CUUCGUGCGACGCUUUCCCUGCUGUCCCAGUACAAGUGCUAAGCCAGAGUAAAGCUUCCCUCACCGCUAGGGUUUCGGCGACGGGAGCUGAGGUCGCACAGAUGGACUUCGUGAAUCCGUCGAUGAGGAGGCCGCCGCUGUUUCGGACAAUGCCCGCAACCGAACCUAGCGUCGUGGAGGAAGACCAGGCGCUAUCCACGUUGAUUUUACAGGUUCGGGGUUUGUUGGUUUUUCUGUUCACCAGAUCUGGGUGGGUAAUAGUUGUUUUCGGGUUCUUAUACGGGAGCAUCAUGGAGGUUGCAUCUUCAAGGGCCUGCGUGGGGUUUGGUCGACGGUUUUGGAAAACCAGGGCAUUUCUUGAUUUCCAUAUCUGCCAUAGAGUGCCUGCGAACAGGGUCUUGGUCUGAGGAGCUGCCGUCGAGGAGUAGAAUCAUGGGUAACUUGAAGAGAAUUGGCAGCUCAUCAAUAAAGCCAUUAGCGACACAAAAUAUGAAGUUAUCAAUUAGAACCUUGAAGUUGACCGACAAAGUCAUCGAUAUCAAAAGCAAGCAAUCAAUAAGAGGAUAACUGUAGGUUGGUUAUUUUGCCGCUAUUUUAGGAUUGUUGUAACUUAUCAUAACCACUAUGAAGUUAUAUCUUUUUCAAUAUCCAUUUGUAACCUCCAUUUGGUAACUGUUUGUAACAUCUGUUUUUGAUUUCCCUUUGUAACCUUCAUCAAUAACCAUCCAUUGUAGGCUUUAAAUAGCCAUAUCAUACUCUUCGGAGACCCCUCACACAAAUCAAACAAAUUUACUAUCUUUUAGUAUCUUUACUUUCUUGCA
Eucalyptus grandis is the source of this 821-nucleotide long non-coding RNA. RefSeq lists it as uncharacterized. The transcript is spliced from 2 exons. Lineage: Eukaryota; Viridiplantae; Streptophyta; Magnoliopsida; Myrtales; Myrtaceae. The record is from RefSeq and is a predicted model, not a curated record.